GACGGAGGGUGCAAGCGUUGCUCGGAAUCACUGGGCGUAAAGGGUGCGUAGGCGGUCUUGCAAGUCGGAUGUGAAAUCCCACGGCUCAACCGUGGACGUGCAUCCGAAACUGCUCGGCUCGAGUAUGGAAGAGGGUCGCGGAAUUCCCGGUGUAGAGGUGAAAUUCGUAGAUAUCGAGAGGAACACCGGUGGCGAAGGCGGCGAUCUGGACGAUGACUGACGCUGAGACGCGAAAGCGUGGGGAGCAAACAGG
RNAcentral lists this ribosomal RNA (253 nucleotides) under uncultured bacterium. Its description in RNAcentral is "partial 16S ribosomal RNA". It matches the Rfam family "Bacterial small subunit ribosomal RNA", at positions 524 to 776 of the family's 1533-position model. The record is from RNAcentral.